AGGGUUGCUGCUGAUGGCUUAGAGCAGGGCUGUUCAACCUGCGGCCCCCCAGAUGUUGCUGAACUACAACUCCCAUGAUUCCCUGGCUAUAUGUUUAAUUGAAAGAAUCAUGGGAGUUGUAGUUCAGCAACAUCUGGGGGGCCGCAGGUUGGACAACCCUGGCUUAGUGCGUCAGCUGAUGCUCU
Molecule: non-coding RNA, 185 nt
Organism: Pelobates cultripes (western spadefoot toad)
Lineage: Eukaryota; Metazoa; Chordata; Amphibia; Anura; Pelobatidae
Source: the annotation of a GenBank genome assembly